CCUUGUCUGCAGAGUUUUGUUCACAAAAGUCAGCUUUCACCGACAAAACAGUGGAGGUGUACACACUACAUAGCUUUCGCCGUUGACAAAAGUCUCUUCCUUUGCGGAUAUAAUAAAACCACCUCAGGGAGAGGUGUAGAGCUUUUUGUGGGAAAGUUAGAUAGACAAAGUGUCAGUGUAGACACUGUGCUUGGUUAUGUUGCUGUAAAUGACCUCCAGGAGAUGUGCCACAAUGCCAAUCCUGACCGCUCUGGUCAGCAGUUCGAACUCCGCUGCGCUGCACCCAGGUCACAAGCAUCCGCCCCAUCCCUUUUAAAGGACAGGAAAUUUUUGAAAUUCCACUUUGUUUCCUUGGUGUGGAGGGCUCAUUCCCACAUUUUCCCACGGCAACUCCACACAGCAAAUGCUCUCCCAUUUGGAGCUCACCUGAGUUGUUGGAUCUGCUCGCUCUGUGGGGAGUGGAGGCUGUGCAGUUCCAACUCCGCUCCAGCAGUAGGAACUUCAGUACCUAUGGUCAGAUUUCUCGUGGCAUGUUGGAUAAGGGCUAUGAACGGGACACGCAUCAGUGCCGUGCGAAGAUAAAGGAGCUGAGGCAGGCAUACCAGAAGACAAGGGAGUCAAACCGUAGCUCUGAUGCUGCAUCAAAGACCUGCCACUUCUAUAAGGAGCUGGAUGCCAUCCUUAGUGGCAACUCCACCUCCACUGCCAAGAGCCCCAGGGAUACUUCAGGAGGGUUGGAGACAGUGGACAGCAGACUCAACCCCAAGGACAAAGUGGUGGACGAGGAAGUGGAGUUGAAGGACAAGAUGGGACAGGUGACAGGGUCGUCCAGUACCGAGGCGAGCCAGGACGUCUUCUUGACCCUGGACGGUUCGAGCCAGUCCUAGCAAUCCAUCUCUGGUGUGCAUGAUUCAGGAGAGGGGAGCUCAGAUGUGGCCUUCAGGGAAACCCCCUACACACUGGUGGAGCUUGUCUGCCACAUAAGGAAGUGACCGAGGUGGAACAAGGAGGACGUGUUUCGGGAGGUGCCCCAAUCCUCUGAUGAGGCGAAA
Chelonia mydas (Green sea turtle) is the source of this 1052-nucleotide long non-coding RNA. RefSeq lists it as uncharacterized. NCBI's taxonomy places the organism in Eukaryota, Metazoa, Chordata, Testudines, Cheloniidae. The record is from RefSeq and is a predicted model, not a curated record. The transcript is spliced from 2 exons.